RNAcentral lists this ribosomal RNA (322 nucleotides) under Sandona sp. Its description in RNAcentral is "SSU rRNA". The stretch from base 112 to 322 matches the Rfam family "Eukaryotic small subunit ribosomal RNA", at positions 744 to 955 of the family's 1831-position model. The record is from RNAcentral. Lineage: Eukaryota; Cercozoa; Glissomonadida; Sandonidae.
GAUUUCUGGCUUGUCACAUUUUGCCGGCCACGGUUUCGUGUGUUAGUGCUUGAUGUUCUGGCCAUCCUUUCAAUCGCUGCUGGCUAUUCUUCAUUGAUUGGUCAGUGGUAUUGAAUCUUUUACUUUGAAAAAAUUAGAGUGUUUCAGGCAGGCUUUAUGCUAUGAAUACAUUAGCAUGGAAUAAUAAUUUAGGACUUCGGUUCUAUUUUGUUGGUUUCUAGGACUGAAGUAAUGAUUGAUAGGGACAGUUGGGGGUGCUAGUAUUCAGCGGCCAGAGGUGAAAUUCUCGGAUUCGCUGAAGACUAACUUAUGCGAAAGCAUU